This 2481-nucleotide long non-coding RNA is filed under the name Takifugu rubripes (torafugu). Its description in RNAcentral is "lncRNA (ENSTRUG00000028205.1)". The record is from RNAcentral. Lineage: Eukaryota; Metazoa; Chordata; Actinopteri; Tetraodontiformes; Tetraodontidae.
GUGUUCGGAACUGUAUUGCGGCUCUUGUGGCGCCUGUGUGUCACUGGGUCGUGCACGCUCCAGCCUGACUUGGCCAGUUCAGACCAUCACAGAGCCGCUCACUGAGCUGCAUCUGUUCUGUGCACAGCUCAGCCUCACACAGCCGCUCUCUAACUCACUUCACUCCAAAUGUUCUCUCUGCAAACCAGGAGAUGUUGGACAUCUUAAAAGGGUUUUUUGGGGGGAGAUUCCGCAUCUUUCAUGACUCUUCAUUGGGUGAACUGAGCAGGCUUUAAAGAGGAGGAUCUUGGCUCCCGCAGCCAUCCCGCCUGCAGGGCUGAACUCUUUGGCUGGCGUGUCACUUCCUCUGCAGAGGGGCUGCUGGCAGACGCCACAUCUACACCGGUACAAACACAGGCGCUCUCCGAUGACUGUUGUAGCACCAGCAGUCGUAAAUGUAGCAGCAGCGACUCUCAGUCCUGCUCUGGUUCAUAUUUCUGAGCAGGAAGAGGUUAAAUAUUCCCUCUGUGGAGGCAGAAAACACCGUUGACCUGCCAGGUCAUGAAGCCACAGGAGGCCGAGCUCGUGGGGGAAAUCGCCAAGUUGCAGUACAUGGUCUCAGAGCUGAAGAGGGGCUUCACCAGCGCCCUGCUGGAGCUCAGUCACAUCCAGCAUGGAGACACACACCUGAGGGAGGAGCUGGAGGAGAACCGCAGGAGCUGCCAGAAGAAAGCUGCUCGCCUGGAGCUGUUGGUGGACUCUCUGAGGGAGGAGCUUGGAGUGCUGCAGACUCAGAUCUUCCAGCUGGACAGUAAGAGACAGAGAGCUCUGCAGGACGGAGACACCUCCAAACACAGAGAGAGCAACCCAGCAGAUGCGCCGCCGUCCUGUGGGUCCAGAGGGAAGCUGCUUCUCCACUGUUUCCUGCAGGGCCUGAAAGCGGGACUGAGUGAAGGCACAGAUGCUCGACAUCAGGUGGCCAUGCAGCUGCUGCACGCGGAGUGGGAGUACGUGUCCACGCUCAAUCAGCUGCUUGACAAGUACAAAACACCUGCAGCUCAGCAGGGGGCCCUGGAGCCGCAUCAGACGCUGGUGAAGUUUGUGGAGGAGCUGCUGCAGCGACAUCUGCCGUUCAGGAACUCGCUGCAGGAGCGACUCUCUGCUGCACACUGGAAAUCUCUGGUGGGAGACAUCCUGGUGCAACUCAUCGGACAAAACGAUACUGUCUUCUCUGACACAUAUGUUGGAUACACAACCACGCUGGCAUCCUUCCUCUGCCUGGAGUUUAACAGAUUAAACCAUCCAGACAGCAACAGCGACAAAGUCCAGGAGGACAGAGAGGAGAUGAAUUUGCUGUCGCUGCUGCUGGCGCCUGUGUCUCGAAUUCACGCCUACCUGAGCCACGUCCAGAGUUUGUUACAGUGGACGGGCAAAGAACAUCCUGACUGCAGCCUCCUGCUGGGAGCCGAGCGAGCGCUGAGGAAUGUUCUAUCCCGCUGUCACGCCAUCCUGGAGGAGGAUGUGAGGUGGGAGGAAGCAGAAGGUGCAGGGCAAAGCUGUUCUGAGGCUGCUGGAUCUUCUGCCAGCUGUUGCGGGAGGAACCAUGAGAAGAGAGAGUCCCCGCAGGAAGCUGCAGCGCUCAGAAACGAUCCGCCGGUGGCCGACCUUACCAACGGCUGCCAGUCCAUGCGUCUGGAGUGUUGGUCCUGCAGCCCCGUCAGGCGGAAGGGCUGCGGGCGGGACAGGAGCGUCCAGAACCGGCCGGGUCGAGACUGUUGCCGCGCCUGCUGCUCCCUCCUCAUGCCCGACGCUGCUGGGUGGGGGGAGAACAGCGACUCGGGCCAGGGAACCUUCAGCCAGCACACUGGGAAAGGCACCAUUGGCCCGGAGGCCACCGGCGCCACCUGCAGCCCAGAGGAUGUCGAGACGGACCUGGAUGACACCUCGGCCUUUGGGGACUCCUCUGUGACCUCCUGCAGCCCUGAUGGGACCCUGUGCAGGGAGGAGGUGAUUAGUGGGCAGGAGGAGGAGGAGGAGGAGGAAGAGGACAGCCAGGUCCCGGUUCUGUUGAGACCUUCCUACAGUCAGCAGAGGGAGGGGUCCAGAGAGAGGAGCGUGUGUCUCAGAUGGCAGAUUCCAAGAGUGACCCCCCACCCGCCCCUGAGAAACGCAGCAGGGCCCCCGUGCACUACCGCGGCCACGCCCUGUCUGGUCAGCUCCCGCGGAAAGAGGCUGGUCAGCAUCCGGACCGGCUCGCCUCCGCUGCACCCAAAAAGCGCCUUCAGGCCCAUCUGGGACGACCCCUCCAGACAGGACGAUUCGGCUCCAGAGAAGGACGUCAGGAAAGGUUUCGUCCCAGUUCAGGCUGCCGCCCGGCAGAGUCUCGGCCUGGGCAGAGACAAUCUGAGGCCGAGUUUACGGCGAGCCCACGCAGCGGCGGUGAGCGGCCCUGGAUUGUGGGAGGACAGCGAGGACAGCGAGGGGCCAUGCAGCACCGUGUGA